GACGAACGCUGGCGGCGUGCUUAACACAUGCAAGUCGAACGAAGUGGCGAACGGGUGAGUAAUACGUGGGUAACCUGCCCUCCUUUUUGGGAUAAGCCUUGGAAACGGGGUCUAAUACCGAAUUAAGGGGGAUGGGCUCGCGGCCUAUCAGCUUGUUGGUGGGGGGAUGGCCUACCAAGGCGGUGACGGGUAGCCGGCCUGUGAGGGAGACCGGCAACGUGGGGACUGAGAGACGGCCCAGGCGCCUACGGGGGGGAGAAGGGGGGGAGAGGGCACAAUGGACGAAAGCCUGAUGCAGCGGCGCGGCGGAGGGGAUGAAGGCGGUCGGGUUGUAAACCUCGUUCACGAGAGAACGGGUAGGUGGAGAAGAAGCGCCGGCUAACUACGUGCCAGCAGCCGCGGUAAGUC
RNAcentral lists this ribosomal RNA (408 nucleotides) under uncultured bacterium. Its description in RNAcentral is "partial 16S ribosomal RNA". It matches the Rfam family "Bacterial small subunit ribosomal RNA", at positions 28 to 526 of the family's 1533-position model. The record is from RNAcentral.